Molecule: ribosomal RNA, 486 nt
Filed under: uncultured bacterium
Lineage: Bacteria
Description: bacterial SSU rRNA
Rfam family: Bacterial small subunit ribosomal RNA
Source: RNAcentral
UCCUGGCUCAGGACGAACGCUGGCGGCGUGCUUCAUACAUGCAAGUCGAACGAGAAGCUGACUUCGGUCAGUGGAAAGUAGGCGGACGGGUGGAGGUAAUGUGUAGAGAAAUCUGCCCUAGAGAGAGGGACAACAGUUGGAAACGACUGCUAAUACCUCAUAUGCGCGUAGCUGAGAUGCUAUUCGUGAAAACUACCGGUGCUCUGGGAGUGAGUCUGCAUCUGAUUAGCUAGUUGGCGGUGUAAUGGACCACCAAGGCGACGAUCAGUAGCUGGUUUGAGAGGAUGAUCAGCCACAAUGGGACUGAGACACGGCCCAUACUCCUACGGGAGGCAGCAGUAGGGAAUUUUGCGCAAUGGGGGAAACCCUGACGCAGCAACGCCGCGUGAUUGAAUAAGCCCUUCGGGGUGUAAAGAUCUGUCAGUAGGGACGAAACUUGACGGUACCUACAGAGGAAGCAUCGGCUAACUCCGUGCCAGCCGCGGC